RNAcentral lists this ribosomal RNA (247 nucleotides) under uncultured Tulasnellaceae. Its description in RNAcentral is "partial large subunit ribosomal RNA". It matches the Rfam family "Eukaryotic large subunit ribosomal RNA", at positions 72 to 312 of the family's 3401-position model. The record is from RNAcentral. Lineage: Eukaryota; Fungi; Basidiomycota; Agaricomycetes; Cantharellales; Tulasnellaceae.
GGAUUCCCCUAGUAACGGCGAGUGAAGCGGGAAGAGCUCAAAUUUUAAAUCUGGCGUCCUUCGGGCGUCCGAGUUGUAAUCUAGAGAAGUGUUUUCCGCGUUGGACCCACCAUAAGUUACCUCGAACGGUACAUCAUAGAGGGUGAGAAUCCCGUGUGUUGGUGGGAAGCCCAGUGCUCUGCGAUGCGCUCUCGACGAGUCGAGUUGUUUGGGAAUGCAGCUCAAAAUGGGAGGUAAAUUCCUUCUA